AGAAAUGCUAAGACGAGGAGGAGUACAUGCUCAACCGGUUUUCAGAGAGAAGAUGGCAGGUGAGAAUCUUCAGCAAGGGAGUAUGGAAGUAGCCUCUGAGCAGUGAGACGAACGAAGCGGAUAACAGGUUUUCAGUAGCGCUCAACGGAAGUUUCCAACGUUAUAUGGAAAAUGAUAUCGAAAAAAUCUGAUUUUUUUCCGUAUCAGCAGAGUGCAGGAAGAGAUUCCUGAAAUUAGGUGGUAACACGGAUUGUUUAUUCGCCCUAAGC
Molecule: non-coding RNA, 269 nt
Filed under: Bacillota bacterium
Lineage: Bacteria; Bacillati; Bacillota
Description: Firmicutes bacterium T-box sequence
Rfam family: T-box leader
About the family: Uncharged tRNA acts as the effector for transcription antitermination of genes in the T-box leader family. T-boxes are found upstream of many aminoacyl-tRNA synthetase genes and some amino acid biosynthetic genes usually in Gram-positive bacteria.
Source: RNAcentral